CGUCACACUAUCGUUAACUGAAUACAUAGGUUAACGAGGCGAACCGGGGGAACUGAAACAUCUAAGUACCCCGAGGAAAAGAAAUCAACCGAGAUUCCCCCAGUAGCGGCGAGCGAACGGGGAGCAGCCCGGAGUCUGAAUCAGCUUGUGUGUUAGUGGAAGCGUCUGGAAAGUCGCACGGUACAGGGUGACAGUCCCGUACACGAAAAUGCACAGGUUGUGAACUCGAAGAGUAGGGCGGGACACGUGGUAUCCUGUCUGAAUAUGGGGGGACCAUCCUCCAAGGCUAAAUACUCCUGACUGACCGAUAGUGAACCAGUACCGUGAGGGAAAGGCGAAAAGAACCCCGGCGAGGGGAGUGAAAAAGAACCUGAAACCGUGUACGUACAAGCAGUGGGAGCACCUUCGUGGUGUGACUGCGUACCUUUUGUAUAAUGGGUCAGCGACUUAUAUUCUGUAGCAAGGUUAACCGUAUAGGGGAGCCGCAGGGAAACCGAGUCUUAACUGGGCGUUAAGUUGCAGGGUAUAGACCCGAAACCCGGUGAUCUAGCCAUGGGCAGGUUGAAGGUUGGGUAACACUAACUGGAGGACCGAACCGACUAAUGUUGAAAAAUUAGCGGAUGACCUGUGGCUGGGGGUGAAAGGCCAAUCAAACCGGGAGAUAGCUGGUUCUCCCCGAAAGCUAUUUAGGUAGCGCCUCGUGAACUCAUCUUCGGGGGUAGAGCACUGUUUCGGCUAGGGGGCCAUCCCGGCUUACCAACCCGAUGCAAACUACGAAUACCGAAGAAUGUUAUCACGGGAGACACACGGCGGGUGCUAACGUCCGUCGUGAAGAGGGAAACAACCCAGACCGCCAGCUAAGGUCCCAAAGUCAUGGUUAAGUGGGAAACGAUGUGGGAAGGCACAGACAGCCAGGAUGUUGGCUUAGAAGCAGCCAUCAUUUAAAGAAAGCGUAAUAGCUCACUGGUCGAGUCGGCCUGCGCGGAAGAUGUAACGGGGCUAAACCAUGCACCGAAGCUGCGGCAGCGAC
This 1030-nucleotide ribosomal RNA is filed under the name Enterobacter bugandensis. Its description in RNAcentral is "partial 23S ribosomal RNA". It matches the Rfam family "Bacterial large subunit ribosomal RNA", at positions 141 to 1212 of the family's 2925-position model. Lineage: Bacteria; Pseudomonadati; Pseudomonadota; Gammaproteobacteria; Enterobacterales; Enterobacteriaceae. The record is from RNAcentral.